GAGCCGUGUGGGGCCGGUGGGUGCGGGGCGCUGCUGGGGGUGACGGGAGGAGGGGAGCAGCGGGGGGACACCGGACCGGGGGGAGUAGCAGGCCUUAAGGGUCCAUCAGCAUGCUCCAGGUACCACUGCCCCUGGAUCGUGAUGGGAUCCUAUUCCGGCUCCGUUUCACCACUCUGGCUGUUGGGACUGUGUUUUGCCCCUUGUUUGGUUUCCUUUUCUGCGUGAUUUGGUCUCUGCUCUUCCACUUCCAGGAGACAACAGCCACCCACUGCGGGGUA
RNAcentral lists this long non-coding RNA (278 nucleotides) under Gallus gallus (chicken). RNAcentral describes it as "long non-coding RNA NONGGAT001444". The record is from RNAcentral. Lineage: Eukaryota; Metazoa; Chordata; Aves; Galliformes; Phasianidae.